This 254-nucleotide ribosomal RNA is filed under the name uncultured bacterium. Its description in RNAcentral is "partial 16S ribosomal RNA". It matches the Rfam family "Bacterial small subunit ribosomal RNA", at positions 524 to 776 of the family's 1533-position model. The record is from RNAcentral.
CACGUAGGGUGCGAGCGUUGUCCGGAAUUAUUGGGCGUAAAGAGCUCGUAGGCGGUGUGUCGCGUCGGCCGUGAAAACCCGCAGCUUAACUGUGGGCGUGCGGUCGAUACGGGCAUCACUGGAGUUCGGCAGGGGAGACUGGAAUUCCUGGUGUAGCGGUGAAAUGCGCAGAUAUCAGGAGGAACACCGGUGGCGAAGGCGGGUCUCUGGGCCGAUACUGACGCUGAGGAGCGAAAGCGUGGGGAGCGAACAGG